GUUUUCGCAGGACCAGAGAAGAGGCGGGGGAGCCGCCGAAGCCGCUGUCCGAACACAGCGACUCCUCGUCUGGGUUGGAGCUGCACGACAGUCCGCUAACGCUCCUCUUCUCGCCGGUUUGGCGGAUACGAGAUAGACUCCUGCCCCGACCUGCACUCCCCCCUCUGAUCAACUGAGGAAUGGGCUCUCUGGACCGCGAACGUCCCCUUUCAUUCAAAGCCGGUGAUGCCAACAUGUCCCUCCUGACCUUCCUUUGGCUAAUGAAAACAAAUGCACACAUUUUAGCAGCCAGGAUUUUGAACUCAGGUAAGGAAGGAAAAUAUGUCAAUCCGAUAUUCUAGAAACCUAUACAAUGGACACACCAAGGCCUCACAUGGACGUACAAGAAUGAUGGCUGAUGAAGGAUGGUUUGAGGGAAAUGGCGCAAGAAAGCAACUAAGAGUUUAAAAGGAAGCUUAUACUGCACACCUUUCAAUGAAAACCAUAUUUCUGCUCACAGAAAGGCCCAAGCUUGUGAGGAAAAAUAAAAAUAAACCAGUAAUUACAGAGAACAUUUAUUAGAAAGGUCAAUGUAAUAGUAAAGUAAAAUAAAUUGUUACUUCUUCAGUUCUGCUUCUCUUUGGCGUCGUUGCCUCUCUUGAAUGUAUGCUGUUGGGUCAAACCGCCCCCGAGACCCUAAAACCUCUAGAGAAGCCAAAUGUAAACAGACAUACCUGUUGGAGAUGGAGAGGGUCUUGAUAUGUAAUUCCGUGCUCCUGAAGAGUCUGCCCUUCUCCCUCUCUCCUCUGACCUCCUGCUCCUAUCCUCCACCCUCUCUCUGGACCCUGAGCGAGCCCUCGCCCCAACUCGAGUUAAACUGCGCUCCCUGGAGGCCGAUCGGUGAAAUUCCCCUUCACCCCUAGACCCACUCCGGCCUGACAAAACCGGAGUCAUCCUGCUACAAACACGAGGCUGCUCCUCCAGGCUGCGCACUGCUUCUCUGAGCCCGCGAGCCCCAGGGGCAGAGCCAGCCUCAACCAUCUGCAGCUGCUCCAGAGCUUUGGCCAGUGCAUCUUUCUCCUCCCUGACCAGAGCCAACCUGAUGUGGCGUAGUUCAGCACAUAUGGUCAGCACAGAAUAAUUAGUCUUGUUGGUCAGACUUCUUUAUCUUGCCUGACCUAUUUUAGUUUCUUGAUUGUUAUCCUGUUGUUAAACUGACAAAUACCAGCAGAACAUAACAAAAAAUAAAUAGGCCAUGCUAAAGAUUAACAGCAUAACUUACUCCGCACGUAGUCUGCGGGUCUCUUGGUCUGAUACUAUGUGGUCUCCUCUCUUCCCCAAGGCAUUCAGUUCAGCCCUUAGAGCUCUGAUCUCUCUUUGGAGCGCUGCAGGAUCAGGCUUUCCAAGAUACGGCAGUGGUAGAGGGUAGUGUAUCCUAGUGCAGUUCAACACCAAGAAAGAACAAGAAUGGCAUUUAAAAAAUGACAAAUUUCAUUUCAAAAGUAACCAGAAAAUGACUGUGUGAAACGGUACUGACCUAUCAAAUUCCACAGUGUAGAUUAGAAUGAGGUAGCGUUUAGCACUGAGAGCAGGAGACUGCUGCUGGGCACGAGGCCGGCCAACUACACCCGCCUUCCUGUUCCGCAGAAGUUCCAGGUCCGAGUAGGUCAGCAGGUCAAGCGUCACUGACUCACUAGACUAGAUGUUUUAAAGACCAUUACAGUCAUUCACAACUGACAUAACAUAAUGAGUACAAUCUGUGUGAACGAUCAGAGUGAACUUCAGCCAACCUACCCUACUAACAGCAGACUCAAGCAUGCUGCAGAAUAUAGGAAACUGUUUGAAAUUCCCAGUUUUACGGGUGAGGUCUUCAAUAUCUAAAGAACAAGAAGAAAAAGGUUUUCAGAAAGUUCCAGGUGCAUCACUGCAUCAGCAUCUUUGGAUGAGCAUACUCACAGGCAGGAUCAAACUCUCCUCUCCACUGGUCUGCCGUCAUCACAUCAGAAAUCUCUACUAUAAGUAAUCGAUCUUGCAAUUCCACUUUUACAGCAAAUUCAACUCCACGAAAUUUCAUUUCUUCUUGCACAACUGUGCCAACUUCCAUGGCUGGAGGAAGUUAUUCCUAUGACCUGAGAAACAUUAUAGUUUAAGAAUAAUAAGCAUUUUUUUGCCAUCAACAAAGUAGUCAAGUGACUAGAUCAGUUAUGUACUUCAUAUAAUCUGAGAUUACAAGACUGAGAUGGAAUGUUGGUCAAACACAGUUCUGAAGUUAGUCGACAGAGCAGAGCAGGCCAGUUCAGAAAACGGCAAACAAGACAAUACAUUAAAAGGGACUUGCUUUGCUAACCCACACAAUAAGUCCAGAGCCACUGUAGCUACGCAUUUUAAUCUGGUAUCUCAGUUACGUACCUAACUCUAUUCUAACUAACUAACUUACUAGCUAACUCACUGAACGAAAUUUCGCAGUUGGGAGGGCUAGUAUCCCUUCCAUCACUCACGGCCAAUUGCAUUUAAACUCGUUUGGGAUGCAAGCUAGUGUGAAAACUGAAUAGCCAGCUAAUGUUUACAAUGUUAGCCACAGUUAAAAGUUAAUUCGCUAGGCUACAUAACAGACAAAUGUGCCUAACGUUAACUUAGGCUUGCUAAAGCGUUAAUAUUAGCUAAUGUCAGCAAGCCAUCAACAUGAACCGGCUAAACCGCUGUUUGUCUUUCAAAUCGGAAGUAACGUUAAGCAUGAAUAACGCAAUUCUUUUCCAACUUACGAGGACCAACGACUUAGCUAGUUAGUUAGCUACAUAAUGUUACACAGCAGUUUCUGGGCGAGCUGGCUAGCUAAAUUGCGGUAGAUAAUGUAGGUUAGUUGAAGUGUGGGGGGGUGACGUUAACUGUUAACUACUCAACCAAGGUUAGCUAGCUAGCUAUGUAGUUAGCCAGCUUAGCGUUGAUUUGACAAAACCAUCUAUAACGUUAACGUGAGCUGACAAAGCUAACAGAAAAGGCAGAGGCGAGCUAACCGGCUGGCUAGCUAAAAUACAUACCCGUCAGAGAUGGAGGUGGUGAGUGUAGUUAAGCCAGGAGCAGAGUAAUAUAAAUCCUACAUUUAAACACGUUCAUUAAAAAAACACACAAGGACAAAAAGGAAACAGUGAAUUCAAAACAAACGCGACAUGUGUUUGGGUACUAUCGACUUUUAGCAAUCCUUCUUCUGCACAACGUCAGUUGCAGGAGCCCAAACAAUUGAAAA
This is a long non-coding RNA of Colossoma macropomum (tambaqui), 3223 nucleotides long. RefSeq lists it as uncharacterized. The transcript has 5 exons. NCBI's taxonomy places the organism in Eukaryota, Metazoa, Chordata, Actinopteri, Characiformes, Serrasalmidae. The record is from RefSeq and is a predicted model, not a curated record.